GCCGACCUUGAAAUACCACCCUUUAAUGUUUGAUGUUCUAACGUGGACCCGUGAUCCGGGUUGCGGACAGUGUCUGGUGGGUAGUUUGACUGGGGCGGUCUCCUCCUAAAGAGUAACGGAGGAGCACGAAGGUUGGCUAAUCCUGGUCGGACAUCAGGAGGUUAGUGCAAUGGCAUAAGCCAGCUUGACUGCGAGCGUGACGGCGCGAGCAGGUGCGAAAGCAGGUCAUAGUGAUCCGGUGGUUCUGAAUGGAAGGGCCAUCGCUCAACGGAUAAAAGGUACUCCGGGGAUAACAGGCUGAUACCGCCCAAGAGUUCAUAUCGACGGCGGUGUUUGGCACCUCGAUGUCGGCUCAUCACAUCCUGGGGCUGAAGUAGGUCCCAAGGGUAUGGCUGUUCGCCAUUUAAAGUGGUACGCGAGCUGGGUUUAGAACGUCGUGAGACAGUUCGGUCCCUAUCUGCCGUGGGCGCUGGAGAACUGAGGGGGGCUGCUCCUAGUACGAGAGGACCGGAGUGGACGCAUCACUGGUGUUCGGGUUGUCAUGCCAAUGGCACUGCCCGGUAGCUAAAUGCGGAAGAGAUAAGUGCUGAAAGCAUCUAAGCACGAAACUUGCCCCGAGAUGAGUUCUCCCUGAGACUUUAGGUCUCCUGAAGGAACGUUGAAGACGACGACGUUGAUAGGCCGGGUGUGUAAGCGCAGCGAUGCGUUGAGCUAACCGGUACUAAUGAACCGUGAGGCUUAACCUU
RNAcentral lists this ribosomal RNA (746 nucleotides) under Salmonella enterica. RNAcentral's name for it is "partial 23S ribosomal RNA". It matches the Rfam family "Bacterial large subunit ribosomal RNA", at positions 2185 to 2925 of the family's 2925-position model. Lineage: Bacteria; Pseudomonadati; Pseudomonadota; Gammaproteobacteria; Enterobacterales; Enterobacteriaceae. The record is from RNAcentral. RNAcentral also lists the same sequence under 2 other names.